Molecule: long non-coding RNA, 582 nt
Filed under: Lonchura striata (white-rumped munia)
Lineage: Eukaryota; Metazoa; Chordata; Aves; Passeriformes; Estrildidae
Description: domestica (Bengalese finch) lncRNA (ENSLSDG00000000771.1)
Source: RNAcentral
GGUGUGCUCCGCAGUGCCCCAGAUAUGCCCAGGUGUGCUCAGGAGUGCCCAGGAUGUGCCCAGGUGUGCCCAGCAGUGCUCAGGUGUGCCCAGGUGUGCUCAGAUGUGCCCAGCAGUGGUCAGGUGUGCCACGGUGUGCUCAGGCGUGCCCAGGUGUGCUCUGGUGUGCCCAGGUGUGCCAUGGUGUGCCCAGGUGUGCCAUGGUGUGCCCAGGUGUGCCCCAGGUGUGCCCAGGUAACAGCGGUGCCAUCGGUGCUCUGGUGCAGCCCCGCCCACUGCCUCCAGAUUGGCUGCUGGCUCGCUGGCCCCGCCCCCGCCAGGGUUCUCCCAGCAAUGGCAAUGCUUCCUCAUUAGCAUAAACCGUCUUCCUCAUUAGCAUAAACCCUGCUUCCUCAUUAGCAUAAACCCGGCUUCCUCAUUAGCAUAAACCCCACCCAUGCACCUUGAUCCCGCCCCCUUUGGGAUCCAGGGGCUCCCCUCCCCCAUGGGCCUUGUGCCCCAAAAAUGUCGGGGUCCCACCCCACAAAUUUUGGGGUCCUGACCCCACAAGUGUUGGGGUCCUGCCCCACAAAUUUUGGGGUC